UCCAGACUCCUACGGGAGGCAGCAGUGGGGAAUAUUGCACAAUGGGGGAAACCCUGAUGCAGCGACGCCGCGUGAGCGAUGAAGUAUUUCGGUAUGUAAAGCUCUAUCAGCAGGGAAGAAAAUGACGGUACCUGACUAAGAAGCCCCGGCUAACUACGUGCCAGCAGCCGCGGUAAUACGUAGGGGGCAAGCGUUAUCCGGAUUUACUGGGUGUAAAGGGAGCGUAGACGGCAAUGCAAGCCAGAUGUGAAAGCCCGGGGCUCAACCCCGGGACUGCAUUUGGAACUGUGUAGCUGGAGUGUCGGAGAGGCAGACGGAAUUCCUAGUGUAGCGGUGAAAUGCGUAGAUAUUAGGAGGAACACCAGUGGCGAAGGCGGUCUGCUGGACAGCAACUGACGCUGAGGCGCGAAAGCGUGGGGAGCAAACAGGAUUAGAUACCCGAGUACU
RNAcentral lists this ribosomal RNA (447 nucleotides) under uncultured bacterium. Its description in RNAcentral is "partial 16S ribosomal RNA". It matches the Rfam family "Bacterial small subunit ribosomal RNA", at positions 330 to 794 of the family's 1533-position model. The record is from RNAcentral.